Molecule: ribosomal RNA, 326 nt
Filed under: uncultured bacterium
Lineage: Bacteria
Description: bacterial SSU rRNA
Rfam family: Bacterial small subunit ribosomal RNA
Source: RNAcentral
AUUGAACGCUGGCGGCAGGCCUAACACAUGCAAGUCGAGCGGUAGAGAGGUGCUUGCAUCUCUUGAGAGCGGCGGACGGGUGAGUAAUGCCUAGGAAUCUGCCUAGUGGUGGGGGAUAACGUUCGGAAACGGACGCUAAUACCGCAUACGUCCUACGGGAGAAAGCGGGGGGAUCUUCGGACCUCGCGCCAUUAGAUGAGCCUAGGUCGGAUUAGCUAGUUGGUGAGGUAAUGGCUNACCAAGGCGACGAUCCGUAACUGGUCUGAGAGGAUGAUCAGUCACACUGGAACUGAGACACGGUCCAGACUCCUACGGGAGGCAGCAGU